Molecule: long non-coding RNA, 208 nt
Filed under: Elaeis guineensis (African oil palm)
Lineage: Eukaryota; Viridiplantae; Streptophyta; Magnoliopsida; Arecales; Arecaceae
Description: long non-coding RNA (EGUI_LNC035249)
Source: RNAcentral
GUUGAAGGCUGAUCUAGUUCUUUGCUUCAGAGCUCUCGAUCACUUCCAGAGGAUGAAGAAGGCCUAUAAGGAGGAGACAAAAUGAUAGAAGGGGAUAAAGAGAAGACACUCUUACUCUCCCUUCCCACAAAACCUUAGAUAAAAUCCUAGGGCACCCACACCUGAUCCUCAUGCCCAAAGAGAAAGAAUAUAUACUCUGUACAUGCAC